Molecule: transfer RNA, 81 nt
Filed under: Schizophyllum commune H4-8
Lineage: Eukaryota; Fungi; Basidiomycota; Agaricomycetes; Agaricales; Schizophyllaceae
Description: tRNA-Arg
Rfam family: tRNA
About the family: Transfer RNA (tRNA) molecules are approximately 80 nucleotides in length. Their secondary structure includes four short double-helical elements and three loops (D, anti-codon, and T loops). Further hydrogen bonds mediate the characteristic L-shaped molecular structure. tRNAs have two regions of fundamental functional importance: the anti-codon, which is responsible for specific mRNA codon recognition, and the 3' end, to which the tRNAs corresponding amino acid is attached (by aminoacyl-tRNA synthetases). tRNAs cope with the degeneracy of the genetic code in two manners: having more than one tRNA (with a specific anti-codon) for a particular amino acid; and 'wobble' base-pairing, i.e. permitting non-standard base-pairing at the 3rd anti-codon position.
Source: Rfam by way of RNAcentral
GGCCGCCUGGCGUAAUGGCAACGCGUCUGACUACGAUUGAGUAACAUCAGGAGAUUGCAGGUUCGACCCCUGCGGUGGUCA